GAUAUUAUCGCCACUAUCGGCACAGCUCUGGCGUUCACAACAAAAUAUACACAAAUUAAAUUGUUUAAGCCGAAUUUUCGAUUGGAUUCCACGGCGACUAGAUGAGCUCCACGCGUCCGUUUUGCUUCGUUUGCGGCAAGGAGAAGUCCGUGGGGGUGUUUCAGCUGAUAGAAGGCUGCAUUGUGCCAGGAACCUUUAAGCCCAUCAAGGAUAUACUGAAAUACUUCGAGAAGAUCAUAAACCAGCGGCUAGAGCUCCUGCCCAACUCGGCUGCCUGCCGGGACUGCCUGGAGUAUCUCUUCAACUAUGACAGGCUGGUGAGGAAUCUCAGCCAAGUGCAGCGCCAGAUUGCGGACGCACUGCUCGGCUGCAGGCAGGUGGAGGGCAAGGCGGAGGCCAAGCAACAGGCGGCGAAGAGGGCCCGCGUCCAGGUGCCGGCCUUCAAGAUCGUCCAAGCCACCGCCCUCAAGGAGCCCGAAAGUCAGCCGGGCGAGGGGGAUGAGUGCGAGGAGUUCAUGAAGGAGGAAAUGCUGGACGAGGAGUUCCAGUUCAGCGAGCCGGACGACAGCAUGCCGUCGUCGGAGGAAGAGUUCUUCACCGAGACCACCGAGAUACCCUGCCAUAUCUGCGGCGAGAUGUUCUCCAGCCAGGAGGUGCUCGAGCGGCACAUCAAGGCGGACACCUGCCAGAAGAGCGAGCACGCCACCUGCAACGUGUGUGGCUUGAAAGUCAAGGACGAUGAGGUACUCGAUCUGCACAUGAACUUGCACGAGGGCAAAACAGAACUCGAGUGCCGCUACUGCGACAAAAAGUUCUCCCACAAGCGGAACGUCCUGCGCCACAUGGAGGUGCACUGGGACAAGAAGAAGUACCAGUGCGAUAAGUGCGGCGAACGCUUCUCGCUCUCCUGGCUGAUGUACAACCAUCUGAUGCGCCACGACGCCGAGGAGAACGCCCUGAUCUGCGAAGUAUGCCACCAGCAGUUCAAGACCAAGCGCACCUACAAGCACCACUUGCGCACCCACCAGACGGACCGGCCGCGCUACCCCUGCCCCGACUGCGAGAAGUCGUUCGUGGACAAGUACACCCUGAAGGUGCACAAGCGUGUCCAUCAGCCGGUCGAGAAGCCGGAGUCGGCGGAGGCCAAUGAAGCCACCGUCAGGUUCUUUUAGGGUAGUCCCUUGCUAGAUUAAUCUAAGAAGCCCAGCUCAUGGGUGCAUUAGCGCGCGAACCCCAGCAGGUAAAGUCGCGGAUUUCGCGAAUUUCCGCGGGCAUGGCAAUAAAACAGGCAGAUGUUUUUUAAUCCCCAAAAUAGGUCCUUUCUACCUGUGCGCUUGGCAUAGUAUAUAAAGGUGUCCCGUCGUCUGCCACAACUUA
RNA transcript from Drosophila mauritiana, 1377 nucleotides. It is a transcript of the gene named serendipity locus protein beta, with no coding region annotated. The record is from RefSeq and is a predicted model, not a curated record. The transcript is spliced from 3 exons. Lineage: Eukaryota; Metazoa; Arthropoda; Insecta; Diptera; Drosophilidae.